RNAcentral lists this ribosomal RNA (1968 nucleotides) under feces metagenome. RNAcentral describes it as "bacterial LSU rRNA". It matches the Rfam family "Bacterial large subunit ribosomal RNA", at positions 3 to 1995 of the family's 2925-position model. The record is from RNAcentral.
UUAAGUAAGUAAGGGCGUACGGUGGAUGCCUAGGCACUUGAAACUGAAGAAGGACGCAACAAACGGCGAAACGCGACGGGGAGUGGUACGUACACGAAGAUCCGUCGAUAUCCGAAUGGGGGAACCCGGCACGGGCAAUACCGUGUCAUCCAUGGAUGAACACAUAGUCCAUGAGAGAGGUACCCGGAGAACUGAAACAUCUAAGUACCCGGAGGAAAAGAAAACAAAAGUGAUUCCCAUAGUAGCGGCGAGCGAACAGGGAGGAGCCCAAACCGAUCCUUGGAUCGGGGUAGUAGGACCACGAGAUGGCAAGAACAUGGUUAGGAGAACGACAUUGAAAGGUCGACCAUAGGGGGUGCAAGUCCCGUAACCGAAAACGAUGGGAAGCCUAGUGGGAUCCUGAGUACGGCGAGACACGAGAAAUCUUGUCGGAAGCAGGCGGGACCAUCCGUCAAGGCUAAAUAUAAACAAGUGACCGAUAGCGAACCAGUACCGUGAGGGAAAGGUGAAAAGAACCGCGGGAGCGGAGUGAAAGAGAACCUGAAACCGUAUGCCUACAAGAAGUCAGAGCCCGUUAAAGGGUGAUGGCGUGCCUUUUGUAGAAUGAACCGGCGAGUUAUGUUAUCGUGCGAGGUUAAGUAGGAGAUACGGAGCCGAAGCGAAAGCGAGUCUUAAUAGGGCGGGAGUACGAUGACAUAGACCCGAAACCGUGUGAUCUAGCCAUGGCCAGGUUGAAGUUCAGGUGAAACUGAAUGGAGGACCGAACCGACCACCGUUGAAAAGUUGGCGGAUGAGCUGUGGCUAGGGGAGAAAUUCCAAUCGAACACGGAUAUAGCUGGUUCUCCCCGAAAUAGCUUUAGGGCUAGCGUCGAGAGGAGAGACAUGUGGAGGUAGAGCACUGAAUGUACGAUGGCCCCAUCCCGGGGUACUGAGUAUAAUCAAACUCCGAAUGCCAUAUGCCAUGCUCGGCAGUCAGACUGUGGGUGAUAAGGUCCAUGGUCGAGAGGGAAACAGCCCAGACCGCCAGUUAAGGUCCCAAAAUGUAUGCUAAGUGGAAAAGGAUGUGGGGAUGCACAGACAACUAGGAGGUUGGCUCAGAAGCAGCCACCCUUCAAAGAGUGCGUAACAGCUCACUAGUCGAGUGACCCUGCGCCGAAAAUGUACCGGGGCUAAGCAUACUACCGAAACUGCGGAUUUGUAGCAAUACAAGUGGUAGGGGAGCGUUGCAUGCACGUAGAAGCCAUAUCGAGAGGAAUGGUGGAGAGCAUGGAAGUGAGAAUGCCGGUGUGAGUAGCGAGAUGUAGGUGAGAAUCCUACACACCGAUAGCCCAAGGAUUCCAGGGGAAGGUUCGUCCGCCCUGGGUAAGUCGGGACCUAACGCGAGGCCGAAAGGCGUAGUGGAUGGAAAACAGGCAGAUAUUCCUGUACCCGCGAUAUGAGCGACGGAAUGACGGAGAAGGCUAGUAUGACCCACUUAACGGAUUGUGGGCGAAGCGGGAUAGCAGGGCGCCAGUGAAAUGCGGCGCCAGGAUGCAAGACGUGAUAGGUAAGCGAACGGCUGCGGCCAAGUAGCGAAGCAUAUGAAGCCAGCUUCCAGGAAAAGUUUCUAGCAAUGAUAUAGCGGCCCGUACCAAAACCGACACAGGUGGGCAAGGAGAGAAUCCUGAGGUGAGCGAGAGAACUGUUGCCAAGGAACUCGGCAAAAAGACUCCGUAAGUUAGCGAGAAGGAGUGCUUAUGUAAAAGUAAGCCGCAGUGAAGAGGCCCAAGCGACUGUUUAACUAAAACACAGCUCUCUGCAAAGUCGCAAGACGAAGUAUAGGGGGUGACGCCUGCCCGGUGCUGGAAGGUUAAGAGGAUUUGUCAGCGUAAGCGAAGCAAUGAAUUGAAGCCCCAGUGAACGGCGGCCGUAACUAUAACGGUCCUAAGGUAGCGAAAUUCCUUGUCAGGUAAGUUCUGACCCGCACGA